This is a long non-coding RNA of Magnolia sinica, 933 nucleotides long. RefSeq lists it as uncharacterized. The record is from RefSeq and is a predicted model, not a curated record. Lineage: Eukaryota; Viridiplantae; Streptophyta; Magnoliopsida; Magnoliales; Magnoliaceae. The transcript is spliced from 2 exons.
UAGAAAAAGAAAAGAAAAGCAAGCGACAAACAACGUAACAGCCCAUGCUAUCUUGAGUAGCCCAAUUGCAAUUCAAGAUAACCGAUUAGCCAAAUGCUGACACCGGCGCCUAUCAAUGACAAAACUGUUAGCCCCACCUUUGCAACUAUAAAUACCCACUUUGAGUCCCACUCAUUCAACACUCAUACACACAUACCACACACAUACAUUGUAUUAUUCAAGAAAGAUGAAGGGUGUAGCGGUAUGUGUCUUGAUGGUGCUAGCUGUGGCCCACCUGAUGGUCGAGCCCGGCCACGCCAUCGCAUGUGGUGAUGUGACCAAAUGCAUAGGACCAUGUGUUCCCUUCCUGACAGGGUCACAGCCAAAUCCAGGCAACGCGUGCUGUGCCGGCGUCAAUCAGCUUAAGGGCUUGGCACCCACCACUGCCGACAGGCGUGCUGCAUGUGCCUGCGUGAAAACUGCUGCAGCCAACUUCAAAAACCUAAACGCCGACGCAGUGAGCUCAUUACCGGCCCAGUGUGGCACACCCCUCCCCUUCCCCAUCAACAAGGAUACCAAUUGCGAAAUAAUCCCUUGAAUUGGAGUUUGUUUGAGGGAGAAAUAAAGAGAGGAGUGUGCUAGCGCGUCGCUACCUUAUCUACCAAGCACAUGAUCAUGGUGAAUGGAUAUGUAAUGAGAAAUAAGUUGCUUUAGGAUGUAUUAGGCUUACGUAUGUAUGGACUUUCAUCUUCCGUAUGAAGCUGAUAUUGGAUGAAAUGGUGGUAACCAGGUCUCUCUGUGUAUGCAAGAACCUUGGUCAGUAGAAACUUGAUGUUUAACGAUGUUUAAUAAAAGUGGGUCCGGAUCUACUGCAAAGCUCCGUGGAGUGGGUACGUAUAUAUUUUCUAUACCCAUGGCAUUUUCAUCGAAUAAAUUGUAUCUCUUUCCAAUUUA